RNAcentral lists this transfer RNA (70 nucleotides) under Ictidomys tridecemlineatus (thirteen-lined ground squirrel). RNAcentral's name for it is "Spermophilus tridecemlineatus (thirteen-lined ground squirrel) tRNA". It matches the Rfam family "tRNA". From Rfam's summary of the family: Transfer RNA (tRNA) molecules are approximately 80 nucleotides in length. Their secondary structure includes four short double-helical elements and three loops (D, anti-codon, and T loops). Further hydrogen bonds mediate the characteristic L-shaped molecular structure. tRNAs have two regions of fundamental functional importance: the anti-codon, which is responsible for specific mRNA codon recognition, and the 3' end, to which the tRNAs corresponding amino acid is attached (by aminoacyl-tRNA synthetases). tRNAs cope with the degeneracy of the genetic code in two manners: having more than one tRNA (with a specific anti-codon) for a particular amino acid; and 'wobble' base-pairing, i.e. permitting non-standard base-pairing at the 3rd anti-codon position. The record is from Rfam by way of RNAcentral. Lineage: Eukaryota; Metazoa; Chordata; Mammalia; Rodentia; Sciuridae.
GGAGAUGUAGCUCAGUGGUAGAGUGUUUGCCUAGCACACAAGUGGCCCUGGGUUUGAUCCCCUAGCACCA